This 482-nucleotide ribosomal RNA is filed under the name uncultured bacterium. Its description in RNAcentral is "partial 16S ribosomal RNA". It matches the Rfam family "Bacterial small subunit ribosomal RNA", at positions 28 to 523 of the family's 1533-position model. The record is from RNAcentral.
GACGAACGCUGGCGGCGUGCUUAACACAUGCAAGUCGAACGAUGAAACCUAGCUUGCUGGGUCGAUUAGUGGCGAACGGGUGAGUAACACGUGACUAACCUGCCCCUUUCUCCGGGAUAACGCUCCGAAAGGAGUGCUAAUACCGGAUACUCACACCGAGGCACAUGCCUUGGUGUGGAAAGUUUUUCGGAAAGGGAUGGAGUCACGGCCUAUCAGCUUGUUGGUGAGGUAACGGCUCACCAAGGCGACGACGGGUAGCCGGCCUGAGAGGGCGACCGGCCACACUGGGACUGAGACACGGCCCAGACUCCUACGGGAGGCAGCAGUGGGGAAUAUUGCACAAUGGGCGCAAGCCUGAUGCAGCGACGCCGCGUGAGGGAUGAAGGUCUUCGGAUUGUAAACCUCUUUCAGUAGGGACGAAGCGAAAGUGACGGUACCUAAAGAAGAAGCACCGGCUAACUACGUGCCAGCAGCCGCAGUAA